GAUGAACGCUGGCGGUAUGCCUAACACAUGCAAGUCGUACGAGAGUUUUUAACUCUAGUGGCGGACGGGUGAGUAACACGUGAGAAUUUGCCUUUAGGAGGGGGAUAACAAUUGGAAACGAAUGCUAAUACCCCAUAUGCUUUUGAGUGAAACGGAUUUAUCCGCCUAGAGAGAAGCUCGCGGCUGAUUAGCUUGUUGGUAAGGUAAGAGCUUACCAAGGCGACGAUCAGUAUCUGGUUUGAGAGGACGAUCAGACACACUGGAACUGAGACACGGUCCAGACUCCUACGGGAGGCAGCAGUGGGGAAUUUUCCGCAAUGGGCGAAAGCCUGACGGAGCAAUACCGCGUGAGGGAAGACUGCCUAUGGGUUGUAAACCUCUUUUUCAGGGUAGGAAUAAAAUGACGUGUACCUGAAGAAUAAGCAAUCGGCUAACUCCGUG
This 441-nucleotide ribosomal RNA is filed under the name uncultured bacterium. RNAcentral describes it as "bacterial SSU rRNA". It matches the Rfam family "Bacterial small subunit ribosomal RNA", at positions 28 to 507 of the family's 1533-position model. The record is from RNAcentral.